Molecule: long non-coding RNA, 2243 nt
Filed under: Salmo salar (Atlantic salmon)
Lineage: Eukaryota; Metazoa; Chordata; Actinopteri; Salmoniformes; Salmonidae
Description: lncRNA (ENSSSAG00000092014.1)
Source: RNAcentral
UCUAGUUUAGUGGUGCUAUGCUGUCAAAUCCUCCCUCAUGUUUCUAGUUUAGUGGUGCUAUGCUGUCAAAUCCUCCCUCAUGUUUCUAGUUUAGUGGUGCUAUGCUGUCAAAUCCUCCCUCAUGUUUCUAGUUUAGUGGUGCUAUGCUGUUAAAUCCUCCCUCAUGUUUCUAGUUUAGUGGUGCUAUGCUGUCAAAUCCUCCCUCAUGUUUCUAGUUUAGUGGCGCUAUGCUGUCAAAUCCUCCCUCAUGUUUCUAUUUAGUGGUGCUAUGCUGUCAAAUCCUCCCUCAUGUUUCUAGUUUAGUGGUGCUAUGCUGUCAAAUCCUCCCUCAUGUUUCUAGUUUAGUGGUGCUAUGCUGUUAAAUCCUCCCUCAUGUUUCUAGUUUAGUGGUGCUAUGCUGUCAAAUCCUCCCUCAUGUUUCUAGUUUAGUGGUGCUAUGCUGUCAAAUCCUCCCUCAUGGUUCUAGUUUAGUGGUGCUAUGCUGUCAAAUCCUCCCUCAUGUUUCUAGUUUAGUGGCGCUAUGCUGUCAAAUCCUCCCUCAUGUUUCUAGUUUCACCAGCUGAUUUCAGCUACUGAUAUUUUUUUAAUUUGAUUGUCAUAUUGGCAGGUUUGCUAGCAACAAGCUAUCUAGCUAGCUUCUAGCCUAGUGUUUUUAUAUGCAAUGUGUUCUCCUCGUAAUGAACAGUCAGUGUCGACAAGUGUCCUGAUCAGAUGGCAAAAUCAGGCAUCAUCAGCUCAUUGUUAUGGAUGUUGCCAAAUGUACAGGAUGUCAACAGAAAACAGCUACAUUGCUGUUAUUCUGGCUGCAGAGAUUGUGACUGUGUUAGCCAUAGCUAGCUGGCUGGCUAGCUAGCAAGCAAGGGAUAAGUACGUUGCCAGCAAACACAGCAACAGAGCGUAAAGAACGAACGACUGGGUCGGCAUCCGUAAAUAUCAAACUAAUCGAACGCACGACUGGGUCGGCAUCCGUAAAUAUCAAACUAACGGAACGAACGACUGGGUCGGCAUCCGUAAAUAUCAAACUAAUCGAACGAACGACUGGCAACUAAAAUAUGAUCAAGCAUGAAUUUGCGUAUAUAAAUGAAAAUAUUUUAGAAAAUGUUUUAUUUCCAAAUGGAAUGGCCCAUUUACAUGAACUGUCUCUUCUGUGUAUAAACAUUGACAUAAUGUCACGUCCUGACCAGUAUAAAGGCUAAUUGUCAUUGUAGUUUGGUCAGGACGUGGCAGAGGGUAUUCGUUUUAUGUGGUUCUGGGGUGGUGUGUUUGUUGAAGGGGCAUUUGAUUUAAGUAUUCCGGGGGUUUUUGGGCACUGUUUGAUUUUCAUGUAAUUCUAUGUUGAGUCUAGUGUGUCUAUUUCUAUGUUUGGGUUAAUUGGGGUUGGGACUCUCAAUUGAAGGCAGGUGUUGUCUAUUUGCCUUUGAUUGAGAGUCCCAUAUAUUAGGGUGUGUUUGUCAUUUGUGGGAGAUUGUUCCGUGUUUAGCCUUGUGCCUUGCCAGACUGUUUUGUUGAUCGUUCGUUCUUUUUUUUUGUUAUUUUUGUGUUCAUUUUGAAUUUAUUAAAACGUCAAGAUGAGCAUACACAUACCUGCUGCGUUUUGGUCCUCCAUUUCCCGACGACAACUGUGACACAUAAGGAAUAUUUCAAGUAGAUUCUAUUUCUAUAUAUUCUGUAUAUCGUAACAUUGUUGUUAUUUUUACAUUUUAAAGGUCAGUUAAUACCAUCCAUAUUCCAGGUAAUGAUCUGAUGGCUGUGGGUAGAUACAAUGCUUUUUUAAAAUGUUCUUUUUUUAAAUGUAUCCUUUUAUUUAACAGGGCAAGUCGGUUAAGAACAAAUUCUUAUUUACAAUGACGGCCUACAAAAAAGGCAAAAGGUUUCCUGCGGGGACAGGUGGCUGGGAUUAAAGAUAAAUACUAGAUCAAAUAAAAAUGUAGGACAAAACACACAUCACGACAAGAGAGACAACACAACACUACAUGGUAGCAACACCACAUGACAACAACAUGGUAGCAACACAACAUGGUAGCAACACAACAUGGUAGCAACACAACAUGGUAGCAACACAACAUGACAACACAGCAUGGUAGCAACACAACAUGGUAGCAGCACUAAACACGGUACAAACAUUAUUGGGCGCAGACAACAGCACAAAGGGCAAGAAGGUAGAGACAACAAUACAUCACACAAAGCAGCCACAACUGUCAGUAAGAGUGUCCAUGUUUGAGUCUUUGAAUAAAGAGAUGGAG